RNAcentral lists this ribosomal RNA (509 nucleotides) under uncultured bacterium. Its description in RNAcentral is "bacterial SSU rRNA". It matches the Rfam family "Bacterial small subunit ribosomal RNA", at positions 38 to 518 of the family's 1533-position model. The record is from RNAcentral.
GGCGGCGUGCCUAAUACAUGCAAGUCGAACGGUCUUUCUAUGGAAGCUUGCUUCCACUGAGAAGAUAGUGGCGAACGGGUGAGUAACAACGUGGGUAACCUGCCCAUAAGAGGGGGAUAACAUCCGGAAACGGGUGCUAAUACCGCAUAGUUUUCUUGAUCGCAUGAUUGAGAAAGGAAAGACGGCCUUUGUGCUGUCGCUUAUGGAUGGACCCGCGGCGUAUUAGUUAGUUGGUGAGGUAACGGCUCACCAAGACGAUGAUACGUAGCCGACCUGAGAGGGUGAUCGGCCACAUUGGGACUGAGACACGGCCCAAACUCCUACGGGAGGCAGCAGUAGGGAAUCUUCCGCAAUGGACGAAAGUCUGACGGAGCAACGCCGCGUGAGUGAAGAAAAGGUUUUCGGAUCGUAAAACUCUGUUGUCAGAGAAGAACAAGUUGGAGAGUAACUGCUCCAGCCUUGACGGUAUCUGACCAGAAAGCCACGGCUAGCUACGUGCCAGCCGCCGC